This 251-nucleotide ribosomal RNA is filed under the name uncultured prokaryote. RNAcentral describes it as "partial 16S rRNA". It matches the Rfam family "Bacterial small subunit ribosomal RNA", at positions 525 to 775 of the family's 1533-position model. The record is from RNAcentral.
ACGGGGGGUGCAAGCGUUGUUCGGAAUUAUUGGGCGUAAAGCGUGCGUAGGCGGUUUGUUAAGUCUGAGGUGAAAUCCCCGGGCUCAACCUGGGAACUGCCUUUGAAACUGGCAGACUUGAGUGCGGGAGAGGGUAGUGGAAUUCCUAGUGUAGGAGUGAAAUCCGUAGAUAUCAGGAGGAACACCGGUGGCGAAGGCGGCUACCUGGACCGAUACUGACGCUGAUACGCGAAAGCGUGGGUAGCGAACAG